RNAcentral lists this ribosomal RNA (460 nucleotides) under uncultured bacterium. RNAcentral describes it as "partial 16S ribosomal RNA". It matches the Rfam family "Bacterial small subunit ribosomal RNA", at positions 338 to 795 of the family's 1533-position model. The record is from RNAcentral.
CCUACGGGGGGCAGCAGUGAGGAAUAUUGGUCAAUGGACGAGAGUCUGAACCAGCCAAGUAGCGUGAAGGAUGACUGCCCUAUGGGUUGUAAACUUCUUUUAUAUGGGAAUAAAACGUUCCACGUGUGGGAUUUUGUAUGUACCAUAUGAAUAAGGAUCGGCUAACUCCGUGCCAGCAGCCGCGGUAAUACGGAGGAUCCGAGCGUUAUCCGGAUUUAUUGGGUUUAAAGGGAGCGUAGGUGGAUUUGUAAGUCAGUUGUGAAAGUUUGCGGCUCAACCGUAAAAUUGCAGUUGAACCGGGCAGUCUUGAGUACAGUAGAGGUGGGCGGAAUUCGUGGUGUAGCGGUGAAAUGCUUAGAUAUCACGAAGAACUCCGAGUGCGAAGGCAGUUCACUGGACUGCAACUGACACUGAGGCUCGAAAGUGUGGGUAUCAAACAGGAUUAGAUACCCGAGUAGUC